GCUUGCUUUUUGCUGACGAGUGGCGAACGGGUGCGUAACGCGUAUGCAACCUACCUUCUUCAGAGGAAUAGCCCAGAGAAAUUUGGAAUAAUACCUCAUAAUAAUAUUUUUUCGCAUGUUAAAAUAUUUAAAGCUCCGGCGGAAGAAGAUGGGCAUGCGUAACAUUAGUUUGUUGGUGAGGUAAUGGCUCACCAAGACUACGAUGUUUAGGGGGUCUGAGAGGAUGAUCCCCCACACUGGUACUGAGACACGGACCAGACUCCUACGGGAGGCAGCAGUGAGGAAUAUUGGUCAAUGGACGAAAGUCUGAACCAGCCAUGCCGCGUGAAGGAUGACUGCCCUAUGGGUUGUAAACUUCUUUUGUAUAGGAAGAAACCCCUCUACGUGUAGAGGGCUGACGGUACUAUUCGAAUAAGCACCGGCUAACUCCGUGCCAGCAGCCGCGGUAAUACGGAGGGUGCGAGCGUUAUCCGGAAUUAUUGGGUUUAAAGGGUGCGUAGGCGGAAAUUUAAGUCAGUGGUGAAAGCCUACAGCUUAACUGUAGAAUUGCCAUUGAAACUGAAUUUCUUGAAUCUAAUUGAAGUAGGCGGAAUAUGACAUGUAGCGGUGAAAUGCUUAGAUAUGUCAUAGAACACCGAUAGCGAAGGCAGCUUACUAAGUUAGUAUUGACGCUAAUGCACGAAAGCGUGGGGAGCGAACAGGAUUAGAUACCCUGGUAGUCCACGCCGUAAACGAUGAUUACUCGCUAUUGGCGAUACACUGUCAGUGGCUAAGCGAAAG
RNAcentral lists this ribosomal RNA (780 nucleotides) under Bacteroidetes bacterium SCGC AAA160-E07. RNAcentral describes it as "bacterial SSU rRNA". It matches the Rfam family "Bacterial small subunit ribosomal RNA", at positions 78 to 857 of the family's 1533-position model. Lineage: Bacteria; Pseudomonadati; Bacteroidota. The record is from RNAcentral.